UGGGGAAUUUUGGACAAUGGGCGAAAGCCUGAUCCAGCAAUGCCGCGUGUGUGAAGAAGGCCUUCGGGUUGUAAAGCACUUUUGUCCGGAAAGAAAUCCUUGGCUCUAAUACAGUCGGGGGAUGACGGUACCGGAAGAAUAAGCACCGGCUAACUACGUGCCAGCAGCCGCGGUAAUACGUAGGGUGCAAGCGUUAAUCGGAAUUACUGGGCGUAAAGCGUGCGCAGGCGGUUUGCUAAGACCGAUGUGAAAUCCCCGGGCUCAACCUGGGAACUGCAUUGGUGACUGGCAGGCUAGAGUAUGGCAGAGGGGGGUAGAAUUCCACGUGUAGCAGUGAAAUGCGUAGAGAUGUGGAGGAAUACCGAUGGCGAAGGCAGCCCCCUGGGCCAAUACUGACGCUCAUGCACGAAAGCGUGGGGAGCAAACAGGAUUAGAUACCCUGGUAGUCCACGCUGUAAACGAUGUCGAUUUUGGAGGUUGUG
This 482-nucleotide ribosomal RNA is filed under the name uncultured bacterium. Its description in RNAcentral is "partial 16S ribosomal RNA". It matches the Rfam family "Bacterial small subunit ribosomal RNA", at positions 355 to 829 of the family's 1533-position model. The record is from RNAcentral.